GGCGCCAUAGCCAAGUGGUAAGGCAGAGGUCUGCAACACCUUUACCCUCAGUUCAAAUCUGAGUGGCGCCUCCA
This 74-nucleotide transfer RNA is filed under the name Anaerococcus prevotii. Its description in RNAcentral is "tRNA-Cys(gca)". It matches the Rfam family "tRNA". From Rfam's summary of the family: Transfer RNA (tRNA) molecules are approximately 80 nucleotides in length. Their secondary structure includes four short double-helical elements and three loops (D, anti-codon, and T loops). RNAcentral also lists the same sequence under 8 other names. Lineage: Bacteria; Bacillati; Bacillota; Tissierellia; Tissierellales; Peptoniphilaceae. The record is from RNAcentral.